Molecule: ribosomal RNA, 457 nt
Filed under: uncultured bacterium
Lineage: Bacteria
Description: bacterial SSU rRNA
Rfam family: Bacterial small subunit ribosomal RNA
Source: RNAcentral
UACGGGAGGCAGCAGUGGGGAAUAUUGCACAAUGGGCGAAAGCCUGAUGCAGCUAUGCCGCGUGUAUGAAGAAGGCCUUAGGGUUGUAAAGUACUUUCAUCGGGGAGGAAAAACAAAACUAAUAAUUUUAUUUCUUGACGUUACCCGAAAAAGAAGCACCGGCUAACUCCGUGCCAACAGCCGCGGUAAUACGGAGGGUGCUAGCGUUAAUCAGAAUUACUGGGCGUAAAGAGCACGUAGGUGGUUUUUUUAAAGUCAGAUGUGAAAUCCCUGGGCUUAACCUAGGAACUGCAUUUUGAAACUGAAAUACUAGAGUAUCGUAGAGGGAGGUAGAAUUCUAGGUGUAGCGGUGAAAUGCGUAGAUAUCUGGAGGAAUACCUGUGGCGAAAGCGGCCUCCUAAACGAAUACUGACACUGAGGGUGCGAAAGCGUGGGGAGCAAACAGGGAUUAGAUACC